This 5333-nucleotide long non-coding RNA is filed under the name Sus scrofa (pig). RNAcentral's name for it is "lncRNA (ENSSSCG00035011985.1)". The record is from RNAcentral. Lineage: Eukaryota; Metazoa; Chordata; Mammalia; Artiodactyla; Suidae.
AGAGGAGGCCAACUAUGCAAGUGACAGCCACUCUGCAAACAUUAGGUGGGAGGUGCCAAGCUCAAGGCCAGAAGAAGGUUUAGGACUCAGUGGCUCACAGUGAAGUGAACUGCAGCACAGGAUGCCUGGUCCUGGAAGACUGCACAGGACAGAAAAGAAGCCCAAAGCAAAUGCUGGCCUCUCGCGUCUGCAACUCAGCCGGUCUGGCCCUGGCCAGCAGUGCAGAUGCGACCUCCCUCGGCUUUUCUCAACAAUAAUCCCAGCCCCUUGUUAUGAUAAACUACUUGCUCCUUGCUCGGCAGUACAUUCAGGAACUGGACUGCUGCCAAGGAAAACUCAGGAGCAGUGGUAGGACUAUUGAAAUAAAUUCAUAGCCUAUGAUAAAUACAGGAAAAACAGUCCUGGUUAAUACGCUUAUAUGCCAACACAAUCGCAUGGUUAUUUAAGAGGAGGAGUUUUUACAUAAAUGUAUGUGAUUUUAAUAAGGCUGAUUCGUUUUUUCAAAUAAGCAAUUCACAACCUAUUUAACCAAGUAGAUGCCAGCCCUUCAGAGUUGAUAUCAAUACUGUAGGAAGCUACAGCUGCCUGAAACAGUUCUAUUCCUAUCUGUGGAGGCUUUCAGAGCUAGUCCAGAAGGACCAUUGGAUCCAGCACUGGAUAAUGAUGCUUUCUGGUUUCAAGUCCCAAAUGGCAUCACCCAACAUGCUUACUGGCCACACUUGGCCUGCAUUCUUUUUGAGGUUUCCAAAAAUUAAAUCCACCUUCAAAAAAAUAAAUCUUUGCUGCUCCUCAAGCAUGCAAAAGACAGCUCUGUAAGUCCCGGAUUUCCAGAGAGAGAUUCUGAAGUUAUUCUGAGCAAGAAAAACAUCAUUGCUGACCUCACGGGUGACUGCUGCAAAUACGCAACAAGUUCUGAUUUCUUUGUUUGAAGAUCUGUCAUGUCAUUUUAGAAUCAGAGUUCAUCUCGACUCAUCCUGUGCAGACUGUCAUCAGGUUUGGUUUGCACCAAAGAGUUGACCCGCAUCGAGGAAUUUAAACCUUGAAUACCAGACCCACUAUGACAUUUGGAUCAGUGGGAGCCUUUGCAAAUCCAUAUGAAAACCUGAGCAGCCCACACGGGGUGUUUCAGCAGCUGGCCACCCUGCAGGAGGUGCAUGGAGUGAAAUAACUAAAAGCAGCCUCUUUACUUCUAAUCUGGCAUAAAUCACCCUGAUUCGAUUUCAAGGGGAUGGGGUGGGUGUGCUGGAAUGAAGGGCCAGCGCCCGCUUUCAGGAGAACCUUGGUGCCCUUCGUGUGGUGUUUCAGGCUGGGUUUUGCCUUCAGGAGAGCAGAACGCAUGCCCCGCUUCCAGGUGAGAGUCCAAACACUCCCGGCACUAACUCUGUGCUUAUUACAAAUCAACCCCCCUAGGCCUGGUUAGGGGGGCGAGGAGCACCUCCGCUGGGCUCCACCUUGUGGGUGAGCUGGGCAGAAAUUCCUGUUACGGGGGACUUAAUUCAUGUUGCCCCAGAAAGUCUCUCUUCUUUUUCUUCUCCCUCUUCCUCUCCUUCCUAAGAACACUGAACGAAUGCAAGGACAGAAGUUGACUGGGUAAACCUCCAUCUGUGCAUGAAGCUCAAGAUCUGCUUCCUCCAACCCGCAGUCCCCUCCACCUAAGGCAGCAGAGAGAACUCUCAGCAAGCCCAGGACACCCCCAGCCCAUGAAGCCCAUCAGCUCUGUUGCUCUGUUUUUCUAGCGUUCACUUUCUAGACUCAAGGUGACUUCUGGGCUUUCAGGGUACUAAGACUCUGGCUGGCAUGGCUUUGAUGUGUCAUGACCGGAAAGCAGGCACACAUGCUGCCAUCCCUCAGGGGACAAGGCUGCUGGGUUCUUCCCAUGCUACAGGGGACCCAUCAGCCUAGAGCUGCAGAAAGGGGGGCACUGUGAGGAUAGAAAGUGACCGUCUACAACCAAAAGUGAAACCCAUAAAAGGACAUAAUAAGAGCCUUUUGGAAAGCCCAGGGCCCUGUAACCUACACAAAACCACAAUCAGGUCCAUCGCAGGCUGGAGGCAGCAACCCAGUUGCCCACUGAUGUUCUGUGAGUCUUACCAUUGUGCGGGGUCCCAUGGUUGCAUGGGCAGCAGAUGGGACUGUGGCCCUUGAGGAGCUUCCACUUAGAAAGGUUAUGAGAGAGUGAAUUCUGAAGCCAAAAUGCUUGGAUUUGAAUCUGGGCCCUGCUAUGUACACAGACAGUUGUGUGGUUUUGGGCAACUUAUUAUUAUUAUUAUUAUUUUGUGACUCAAUUCCUCUUCUGUAGAAGGACAUUAAAAAUAUUCCCUUCCAGAGUUCCCGUCGUGGUGCAGUGGAAACGAAUCCGACUAGGAACCACGAGGUUGCAGGUUCGAUCCCAGGCCUCGCUCAGUGGGUUAAGGAUCCAGCGUUGCUGUGAGCCAUGGUAUAGGUCAGAGAUGUGGCUUGGAUCAGAUGGGCUGUGGCUGUUGUGUAGGCCGGCAGCUGUAGCUCCAACUAGACCCCUAGCCUGGGAACCUCCAUAUGCCGUGAGUGCAGCACUAAGAAGACAAAAGACAAAAAAAAAGUCCCUUCCAAAGAAUCACUGUGAGGAGAUAAUGAGUGAAUCCAUAUCCAGGCUUAGGACAGUACUGGACACAUGCUUUAUGAGGGUGAGCGUUAGCUGUUAUUACCUGAACACAGAAGACCUGUGUCAGAAGUCAGAGCCUUAGGUAGGCAGAAUGGGCUUCUAGGGAGGGGAGGGCCUGACUUAGGACAUUGGGGCAUCGUCUAACACUUUUCCUCUAAAUGAAGCUCACCACCCACGACUACGGGGCCACCACUCUGCAGAAGGGCCUCUGGCAGCACUUCCCAAGCCCUUGAUGAAGGCUGUGGACACCCACACUCAGCUGCUCACCUUCCGACCUGGUUCUUUUGCUCGUCUUUGCUUCCUCUGCUGGGCCACCUGCUGUUGAAUCAGGCAGGUGAUUUCAGUUCAAGUCAGCAGAGGUCUAUUUCCAUGGGAGGAGCUGUGGCAACAAAAACAUGCAUUGAACAAUAUCCGUAUUGUCCUCCAGAAGCUCCCCAGUCUGGUGACAGACGAGGCAGCAGUUUCCUAAGUCAAUGUAUUCGGAGAGGUUGUUCUGGGAGGGAGAAGAGGAGGGCUCGGAUCAGGGACAGAGUGAGCACCUCUCCAAGGGUGACUUCAAAAGAGGAGUCAGGGCCAGGGUGCAGAGGCAGGGUGCAGGGGCCAUGGCAGUCCAGACCCAAGACAGCACUCGAAGCUUGGCUUGGACCCCCCACUCUCUCUGCAAAUACCAGGGGUGACUUUCUUUUUGUCUCCCUUGUCCUCCAGCUGCUCUGAAAUCCCCCAGGAUCUGCCAGGGGCCUGAGGAAGUAUGUGUGGAGUUGGCCUGAGUCGACCAGCUGCUCUGCUGUGUGCAUCGCAGGCCUGCUCGAGAUGGGGUGGAUGGGAUGGGACGCUCUGGGCAGAAGGCACAGCAAAAGCAAAGGCUGCAGCAGGAAGGCCAGUGGAGCUGUGCGCACAGCUCUAGCUGUAAAGCCGGACCCCUUCUAUCCAUUAGCUCUGUCAUCUGGGGAAGGCUGCUUUGCUUCUCUUGAGUUUUGAUGACAAAUUGGGCAGAAUAAUACCCAGGAGAGUAUUUAUGAGGAUUGAGUGAGGGAUAUAUACCUGAGGAAUACCUAAUAAGCCCCUACUGUGUGCUCAGCCAGAAGAGAUUGUCGAGGUCCAAGCCCAGCUUUUCUCCUUCUGCUGUCUGUUUUUAUAACACCCAAGGGCACCUGGAUCAUUUGCUGUCAAAGAAAUCAGGGAACACAAAACACCUCUCUUUGAAAUAGCUUUUGAAAAAAGAAGGCAGUGUUGGCCAAAGAUUGGGCAUGAUGGUGUUGGUCUUUAUAUCCCAGCAAGAGUCCAAUUGGGCUGUAGCUGUAUAGACUUUCCUGGUGGGUCCCACUGCCACGGGAAGCAGGCCUCUGGCCUGGAGGAGAGGCCUAGAGCCUGGGAGUUGUAUUUCCUGCUUAGAUUAAGGAGGUGGCCAAUUAGGGCUAAUUGCGGAGACGAUGUUGUGAUGUGGACAUCCAUCUGCUCGGGGGACGCUAUGUGCAGACAGCAGGGUCAGUACACAGACGUCAGAGGACAGCCAUUGGACAGGAGCCUUCAUGCACCACCAACCUGUCCUCUUCGAUGACCCGAGGGGAAUGCCCCCUACCCCAGUACCAGUCCUUGGCCAUCCACAUUCCCUGUUACUGCCACCUGAAUCUGCCUAGCCAGAGAUGCAGAAGUUGAGCCUGAAAAUGGCCCGAGGAAAAGAGGAGGAAAAAGAAAGAAGAGGAAUGCAAUUUUUGCUGGGCUUAAGUCAUGGUUUGUAACAUAUCUAAAGUCUGAGCUAUUUACAUUAAAAACAACAGAAAUGGAGUUCCCGUCGUGGCUCAGUGGUUAACGAAUCCAACUAGGAACCAUGAGGUUUCGGGUUCGAAUCCCUGGCCUCGCUCAGUGGGUUAAGGAUCCGGCGUUGCCAUGAGCUUUGGUGUAGCUCGCAGAUGUGGCUCGGAUCCCACAGGGCUGUGGCUGUGGCGUAGGCCCGCGGCUACAGCUCCGAUUCAACCCCUAGCCUGGGAACCUCCAUAUGCCGUGGGAGCGGCCCAAGAAAAGGCAAAAAGACAAAACAAACAAACAAACAAAAAAACCCGACAGAAAUGAAUGGUUCAAUAUAUAAGCAAAGCUGUGAAGGGGCAAAUCCUCGCACAUGGCUGAUGGGAGUAGAAAUGGAUGCAACCCCAACUGGCGAUGUCUAGCACGACCUCACAUGUUGACAAGGGAACAUUUGAUAAAGUAAUUCCACUUCUAAGAAUUUACUCUUCAGAUACUCUCACUGGUGCAAAACGGCACAUGUAAUGUUACUUCUUUGUUGCAAAGUUCUCUGCAAAAUAUUUUAAACAACCUCAAUAUCCAUCAGCGGAGGACUUAAGAAAAUUAUGUUGUAGGGUACUGUGUGGACAUACACGUGUGUGUGUGUUUGUGUACACACACAUGCGUAUACUUCCCACGUAUGUAAGCAUCGCUAAGAAAUGUUGUUAGGUCAAAAAUGCAAGUUGCAACAGUGUGUAGAGUAUGCUACCAUUUGUUCAUGUAUGUACACACAACUCUGGAAGGAUCUUGAUGAAACGAGCGACAUUGGUGGCUUUUGGAGAAAGGAACUAGGUGACUGGGGGACAAGAGCAGAAGAGAGACUCUUGCUGUUUACUUUUUUACACUGUUUGAAUUUUGAACUAUGUGCAUAUGUAACUUAACACAAAAUACUAAUUAAAGAAUAUUUGUCUUA